AUGGUAGAGGGUUUCUAUCCUGGCUCAGAUUGAACGCUGGCGGGAUGCUUUACACAUGCAAGUCGAACGGCAGCACGGACUUCGGUCUGGUGGCGAGCGGCGAACGGGUGAGUAAUGUAUCGGAACGUGUCAGUAGCGGGGGGAUAACUGCUGAAAGCGUAGCUAAUACCGCAUAACACUUUCAAAGCUGGGACCCUUCGGGCCUCGCACUAUUAGAGCGGCCGAUAUCGGAUUAGCUAGUUGGUGGGGUACCCACACCAAGGUUGUCGAUGAUCCGUAGCUGGUUUGGAGAGGACGACCAGCCACACUGGGACUGAGACACGGCCCAGGACUCCCUACGGGAGGCAGGGGGAAUUUUUGGACAAUGGGGAAACCCUGAUCCAGCCAUCCCGCGUGCGAUGAAGGCCUUCGCCACACUUUUGGCAGGAAAGAAACGGCACGGGAUACCCCGCACCCGACGGUACCUGCAGAAUAAGCAACGCUAAUCACGCCGGUGCAAGCGCUACAGGUGUAAUACGUAGGGCAAGCGUUAAUCGGAAUUACUGGGCGUAAAGCGUGCGCAGGCGGUUCGGAAAGAAAGAUGUGAAAUCCCAGAGCGAACUUUGGAACUGCAUUUUUAACUGUCGAGCUUAGAGUGUGUCAGAGGGAGGUGGAAUUUGCGUGUAGCAGUGAAAUGCGUAGAUAUGCGGAUAAUACCGAUGGCGAAGGCAGCCUCCCGGGAUAACACUGACGCCGGCGCACGAAAGCGUGGGAGCAACAGGAUUAGAUACCCUGGUAGUCCACGCCCUAAACGAUGUCAACUAGCUGUUGGGGCCUUCGGGCCUUGGUAGCGCAGUGGCUGAACUGUGAAGUUGGACCGCCUGGGAGUACGGUCGCAAGAUUAAAACUCAAAGGAAUUGACGGGGACCGCACAAAGUUGUGGAUGAUGUGGAUUAAUUCGAUGCAAACGCGAAAACCUUACCUACCCUUGACAUGUCUGGAAUCCCGAAGAGAUUUGGGGAGUGCUCGCAAGAGAACCGGAACACAGGUGCUGCAUGGCUGUCGUCAGCUCGUGUCGCGCAGAUGCUGGGUUGAAAGUCCUGCACCGAUGCAACCCUUGUCAUUAGUUGCUACGAAAGGGCACUCUAAUGAGACUGCCGGUGACAGUUCGGAGGAAGGUGGGGAUGACGUCAAGUCCUCAUGGCCCUUAUGGGUAGGGCUUCACACGUCAUACAAUGGUCGGGGACAGAGGGUCGCCAACCCGCGAGGGGGAGCCAAUCCUUGUGUCCCCGAUCAGUCCGGAUCGCGGGGUAGUCUGCAACUCGAUCGGGUGAAGUCGAAUCGCUAGUAAUCGCGGAUCAGUACGUCGCGGUGAAUACGUUCCCUGGUCUUGUACACACCGCCCGUCACACCAUGGGAGUGGGUUUUACCAGAAGCAGUUAGCCUAACCGUAUGAGGGCGAUUACCACGGCAGGAUUCAUGACUGGGGUAGUCAACAAGGUAG
This 1483-nucleotide ribosomal RNA is filed under the name uncultured Bordetella sp. Its description in RNAcentral is "partial 16S-23S ribosomal RNA intergenic spacer". It matches the Rfam family "Bacterial small subunit ribosomal RNA". The record is from RNAcentral. Lineage: Bacteria; Pseudomonadati; Pseudomonadota; Betaproteobacteria; Burkholderiales; Alcaligenaceae.